CGCCCGCCGCGUCACCACGCCACCGCCGCCGCCGUCUCUUGCCGCCGCCCGCCCACGCAAAUCGAUAUUACUGUACCGCCGCACAUGUACGCUUUUAUUGCCACACGUAUAAACAUUUUAUGAUAAUUUAAAAAGUUUUAUCUCGCGGUUCUUCAAUACCAUACGCAUUGCAAUUUUUCACAUCACCGCCUUCCGACGGUUAUCGCUUUGUUUCGAGCGCGACAUUUUUACUCCACAAAGUAAACAAUAAAGUAGACAAAUAACGUAGGUACGCUAGAAACAGCUGACUUUCAACGUAACAGCUGUUCGUAUGGAGACUACAAAGGCGUCGAGCUUUAAAACGAGGUAUUUUAAUUAGAAAUCUUAAAUCAGUUUACAGUUGCUCAAUUUUAUUACCCUCAAUUUAUUGGGGUACUGAUAUAUAGCCUGGUGAAGUAAUCCAGAGUUUCGAUUGACGUAUUUUACGGUAAGUGUGACUUUUGAUGUUGUAAAUAUAACGGCGAGGUGACUUUACGCGUAUGAACUCGUGUUAAUAGAUUGUGUAAAAUAUGCGUGUGGUUUGAGCACAUGAGGGCGCGCGAGUACGUGAAGGUCGGUGCUUGCGUCGACGCAGCGUCGCCUGUCCAGGGAAGUUGGCAAUGUGCGCGGGCGCGUCACUCGCGGUGACGCGACUCGUUAGGCGUUGACUCGUCCGUGGCUCCCGCGUCUGUGCCGUCAGUUCAACCUUGCGCGCGCUUAGGACAUGUACGUGUUAUGGAUUACCAAUGCAUCGUCGUGUACACGGUCAUCAACAUCGCUUCUCCGCGUCUCACGGCACAGGCCGCGGACUUCUCCGACGGCUGUAUCACCUGGUUCAAAAACAAAAUUAAAAGAGCGGUAGCAGUUUACCUUCACUCAUUGAAAAUAACACCGAACAGCGGUCUAGCCCAGGGAAACCUGGCAUGCACCUAUUACAAACAAGGCCUAAUAGAUUUAGCGAUAGAGACGUACAAGAGGGCUAUAGAGAUCCAGCCCAAUUUUCCAGAUGCCUAUUGCAAUCUUGCUAAUGCUCUCAAAGAAAAGGGACUAGUUUCCGAGGCGGAGGAGUGCUAUAACAAAGCUUUACGUUUAUGUCCCCUCCACGUUGACACUCUCAACAACCUGGGCAAUGUCAAAAGGGAACAAGGAAAAAUUGAAGAAGCUACCGUAUUGUACACGAGAGCACUGGAAGUAUUCCCUAACUUUGCAGCCACUCAUAGUAAUUUAGCAUCACUUUUACAGCAACAAGGGAAACUCCACGAAGCGUUAAUGCAUUAUAAGCUAGCCAUAAAUAUGCAACCAAACUUUGCGGACGCAUACAGCAAUAUGGGAAACACUCUUAGAGAAAUGCAGGAUAUAUCCGGCGCUGUUAUUUGCUUUACAAAAGCAAUAGAAAUAAACCCGUCAUUUGCAGAUGCACAUAGCAAUUUGGCAAGCAUUCACAAAGAUAUGGGCAACAUUUCCGAAGCUAUUGACUCUUAUAAGACAGCAUUGAAGCUUAAACCUGACUUCCCGGAUGCUUACUGUAACCUGACUCAUUGUCUACAAAUAGUGUGUGAUUGGGACGAUUACGAGGAACGUAUUCAAAAUGUUGUCUUGAUCGUUGACAAACAAUUAAAUAGUGAAAAAUUAUCGUCCGUUCAUCCUCAUCAUUCCAUCUUAUAUCCAUUAUCUAACGAAGCUAGAAAGGAAAUUGCCGCGCGGCAUGCCAAUUUAUACUCUGAAAAAGUAAGUAUGUGCGAUAAAAUUACUUUUCAAUAUGAAAGAAAGUUGCGAGGACGUUUACGGGUGGGUUAUGUCAGUAGCGACUUUGGUAAUCACCCUACAUCACAUUUAAUGCAGUCUAUACCAGGUUUGCACAAUCAAUGUGAACUGGAAAUCUUCUGCUAUGCUUUGAAUCCUGACGAUGGUACAACAUUCCGUAGUAAAAUGGUGAAUGAAUCUGAACAUUUUGUUGAUUUGUCCAAUGUAACGUGUAAUAUAGAAGCUGCUAGAAAAAUUAAUAACGAUGGAAUACAUAUUCUAAUAAAUAUGAAUGGAUAUACAAAAGGAGCAAGAAAUGAAAUCUUCGCUUUAAGACCUGCACCGAUACAAGUUAUGUGGUUGGGCUAUCCGGGGACCAGUGGUGCAAGUUAUAUGGAUUAUGUAAUAACUGAUGAAAUCUCCUCUCCGCUAUCGUCGGCGUCUGAUUUUAGUGAAAAGUUUGCAUAUAUGCCACAUACAUAUUUUGUCGGAGAUCAUAGGCAAAUGUUUCCACAUCUGAAGGAACGAUAUAACGUCAAAGUUAAAGAAAAUAAUUUGAAUGAAAACGUAGCUUUAAUUAAUUCAUCCGAAGAUUUUAAUAUGUCUGAAAAAUUUUGUGUACUUGAAAGAAAAGAGAUAAUAACGUACGGUUGUUUUGAACCAAUAGAAGUUAAUGUUAGAGAAAUUAACAUUCCGAAUUACGUAAUUGAAUCGACAAUAAAUCCCAGGCAAGUGCAGGUUUACUUUAACGGAGUAACUAUUAGCAAUGGUAUAUCGAUAAACUAUACCAAUAAGAAAGUUGCAUCCGGUGAAGAAGUUUUAGACAAUAUUGUAUUUACUUCAAGAAAACAGUAUGGUCUUCCAAUCGACGCCGUAGUUUACUGCAAUUUCAACCAGUUGUACAAAACAGACCCCAAGGUAUUAGAAAUGUGGGUGAGAAUACUAAAAUUGGUACCAAACAGUGUACUUUGGUUGUUAAGUUUUCCGGCUGCUGGAGAGCCAAAUGUACGGAAAUAUGUACAGAAUUUAGGGUUGCCCGCUGAUCGAGUUGUAUUUUCAAAAAUUGCUUGCAAGGAAGAGCAUGUGCGUCGGGGGCAGUUAGCUGAUGUCUGCCUCGACACGCCCCUGUGUAACGGUCACACAACUGCAAUGGAUGUGUUGUGGGCUGGAACACCUGUAGUCACCUUACCUGGAGACACCCUAGCCUCGAGAGUCGCUGCAUCGCAGUUGAAUACAUUGUGCUGUCCUGAACUUAUAGCCAGGAAUACACAGGAGUAUGAAGACAUUGCGGUCAAGUUGGGAACCGAUAUGAAAUAGCAAGUUUAUUUAUAAUUAUUUUAUUAUAAGAAGUAAAUGCCAAGAAUAUGUGUUAUACUAUAUAUUCUAGUCUCCAGUAUGUCCGAGCUAAGGUUUCCAAGGCCAGACUGACCAGUACUUUGUUUGACUGUACUCACUAUGCGAGGGGUUUGGAAUCACUUUACUUUAAAAUGUGGAGACGAUAUGAAAAUUUAGAUAAACCCGAUCAC
RNA transcript from Hyposmocoma kahamanoa, 3287 nucleotides. It is a transcript of the gene named UDP-N-acetylglucosamine--peptide N-acetylglucosaminyltransferase 110 kDa subunit-like, with no coding region annotated. The record is from RefSeq and is a predicted model, not a curated record. NCBI's taxonomy places the organism in Eukaryota, Metazoa, Arthropoda, Insecta, Lepidoptera, Cosmopterigidae. The transcript is spliced from 7 exons.